This 261-nucleotide ribosomal RNA is filed under the name uncultured bacterium. RNAcentral describes it as "partial 16S ribosomal RNA". It matches the Rfam family "Bacterial small subunit ribosomal RNA", at positions 1240 to 1500 of the family's 1533-position model. The record is from RNAcentral.
CAAAGGGAAGCGAAGUGGUGACAUGGAGCAAAUCCCAAAAAUAACGUCCCAGUUCGGAUUGUAGUCUGCAACCCGACUACAUGAAGCCGGAAUCGCUAGUAAUCGCGGAUCAGAAUGCCGCGGUGAAUACGUUCCCGGGUCUUGUACACACCGCCCGUCACACCAUGAGAGUUGGAAAUGCCCGAAGUCAGUGGCCCAACCGGAAGGGGGGAGCUGCCGAAGGCAGGUUCGAUGACUGGGGUGAAGUCGUAACAAGGUACC